UACAGAGGUCCCAAGCGUUGUUCGGAUUCACUGGGCGUAAAGGGUGCGUAGGUGGCGGGGUAAGUCUGAUGUGAAAUCCCCGAGCUUAACUCGGAAACUGCAUCGGAUACUGCUUUGCUCGAGGGUUGGAGGGGGGACUGGAAUACUUGGUGUAGCAGUGAAAUGCGUAGAUAUCAAGUGGAACACCAGUGGCGAAGGCGAGUCCCUGGACAACUCCUGACACUGAGGCACGAAAGCUAGGGGAGCAAACAGG
This 253-nucleotide ribosomal RNA is filed under the name uncultured bacterium. RNAcentral's name for it is "partial 16S ribosomal RNA". It matches the Rfam family "Bacterial small subunit ribosomal RNA", at positions 524 to 776 of the family's 1533-position model. The record is from RNAcentral.